UUGUGAAUCACGUGAAUUUGUGAAUUGUUUUGUGCAGUGUUACUUUAACGGGAAAUUGAUUCACCUUUUCUCUGUGUUUGCCUUUGAUACCAUUUAGCAAAGUAAUGAUAUUAAUGCGAUGUUAACCUCAAAAUUGGCAAAUACAUUAGGCGGAAGAAGUAGAGAGAGUUUUUGGCAUUGUAGCACCAUUCAGUUGGUAACAAAACUGCAAAAAAUGGUCCCAACAUUAGAAGAUGGUAAAUUGUUAACCAAGCUUUAUUUGGGGAAGGAAAUACAAACAGUGGUUUCAGCAGUUCUGCAGAAGGAAGAUACUCAAACCAAACAUCAGUGAAAGCCAGAGGAAACAAAAAGCAGGCACAGUCAUGCUGAAUGCCUCUUGCUGUUCAGUCCCUGCCAAUCCAGGCUUCAUCUGAGCUGACCAGCAUGGGCUGCAGUCCCCAGUUGUAGUACUAUGAUCAAGUGAUAUUAUUGCAUUAGAGGAAUUUUGGAGGAGGAAGUUUCUGUGCAGAGAAACUGAAGAAAGGUCUGUUCCUGCAGACCACGAAUCAAACCCUCCAAACCAUGCAUCGCUUUCAUGCCCAGACUUCCUCUGAAGAUGCCUGGCGUUGCAUAACCAUGAUAAAGAGAAAGGGAAGAGACAACCUGAGCAAGUGAAUAAAAGCACCACUGAAGCCCACAUGGUCAGACCUGAGAGAAGCAAAGUAACUAACAAGCAACAUAAUGAGAUACAAUUAACACGUACAGAGAAGCCCAGCAAAUUUGAGUUGAGUGUCUGUCACCUAUAAUGCAACAACUGUGUCAUAAGGUUAUCACCUCAGUAAAGAAAAAAACCCCCACUAGUCAACAGGUUCAACUUCAGCAACCCCGGCUCCACUUUAGGACCUUAACAGAACAUUGUGUUGAGUAAUGUGUUGCGCCACGAGAUCAAAGAAGAUAGCAGUGUCUGACUCGGCCUGCACAGACUCACAACCAUAAUGGCUAAGAUUUAAAGGCAGACACCUGUGAUGUUUCUUCCUGCUUCACAAGGAAUAGGUUAUAAACUAUGGAUUAACCUGCCAGCAAGUUUUCAGUCACUUAAACUAAACUGCUCCUGUCAGACUAAUUUCUAGUACAAUUUUAAUGACAGUUUAUCUACCUUCUUUGUUUGCUUUUCACUUAUUAGCUGGUUUGCUCAAAAUCAAUUUAUCAUGGAUCUCCUAUGUGUUUGCAGGACUGAAGUUUCACACGUGUGAAAUCUAUGACUUUAAAACUUAACAGCACUUAGGCCAAACAUGGAACAAUGAACUGUCACUGGUCAGAGAAAAUAACAUGCUUCAGCAUGUAAAAUACGCGGUCCCAUCCUUCCAAGACACUACCCAACCUGCUGGUUUAUGUCAAAAUCAGCGACUGGGCACACUCGCAUGGGAAGCAUGCGUGGGUGCUGAUUUAACAAGCUAAGCAAUGACUCACCUCCAUACACUGGACAGCAGGAGCCACAGGUUCUUUUGUUUAAUGUUAAUAUAGAAAGUACAUUAUAAUUAACAUUAAAUACC
This is a non-coding RNA of Struthio camelus australis, 1532 nucleotides long. NCBI's taxonomy places the organism in Eukaryota, Metazoa, Chordata, Aves, Struthioniformes, Struthionidae. The record is from RefSeq and is a predicted model, not a curated record.